RNAcentral lists this ribosomal RNA (419 nucleotides) under bacterium. RNAcentral's name for it is "partial 16S ribosomal RNA". It matches the Rfam family "Bacterial small subunit ribosomal RNA", at positions 355 to 776 of the family's 1533-position model. The record is from RNAcentral.
UGGGGGAUAUUGCACAAUGGGCGAAAGCCUGAUGCAGCGACGCCUCGUGGGGGAUGAAGGCCUUCGGGUUGUAAACUUCUUUUGCUCUGAACAAGGCGCACCAUGGGGUGUGUUGAGUGUAGGGGUUGAUUAGCGCCGGCUAACUACGUGCCAGCAGCCGCGGUAAUACGUAGGGCGCGAGCGUUGUCCGGAAUUAUUGGGCGUAAAGGGCUUGUAGGUGGCUGGUUGCGUCUGUCGUGAAAGCUCAUGGCUUAACUGUGGGUUUGCGGUGGGUACGGGCUGGCUUGAGUGCAGUAGGGGAGGCUGGAAUUCCUGGUGUAGCGGUGGAAUGCGCAGAUAUCAGGAGGAAUACCGGUGGCGAAGGCGGGUCUCUGGGCUGUUACUGACACUGAGGAGCGAAAGCAUGGGGAGCGAACAGG